UGUCACUAGUUACCAGCGGGUAAGUGCCGGGGACGUCUAGUGAGACUGCCUGUGUUAAGGCAGGAGGAAGGCGUGGAUGACGUCAAGUCCGUAUGGCCUUUAUAUCCAGGGCUGCACACGUGCUACAAUGGCCGGUACAAUGGGUCGCAAUACCGCAAGGUGGAGCCAAUCCUCAAAACCGGCCCUAGUUCAGAUUGCAGUCUGCAACUCGACUGCAUGAAGCUGGAAUCGCUAGUAAAUGCGUAUCAGCUACGACGCAUUGAAUACGUUCCCGGGCCUU
This 280-nucleotide ribosomal RNA is filed under the name uncultured Victivallis sp. Its description in RNAcentral is "partial 16S ribosomal RNA". It matches the Rfam family "Bacterial small subunit ribosomal RNA", at positions 1106 to 1382 of the family's 1533-position model. Lineage: Bacteria; Pseudomonadati; Lentisphaerota; Lentisphaeria; Victivallales; Victivallaceae. The record is from RNAcentral.